CCCAGAUUUACCUGGAAGCUGUGGAAUACUGGGGAGAAUGGGAAAGACCUCUUGGAGAAGAUUGGACUUGAAAUGAGGCUUGAAGGAAGCCGGGUAGACUGAGAGAUGGAGGGCCCUUCCUGAGCCUGGCAGCCACCUUAUUGGAGGAGAGGGCGGCGCUGAGCUGUAUCCAACCUCUGAGGCACGUGGGCACAGCAGAAUGAAUGUGAGUAGAGGAAAAGGCCUUUCCUUCCUCCUCAGGGUGCAUGUCAGGGGUGGGCAGGAAGGAGUGGCUGAGGUGAGGGGGCA
Molecule: long non-coding RNA, 288 nt
Filed under: Monodelphis domestica (gray short-tailed opossum)
Lineage: Eukaryota; Metazoa; Chordata; Mammalia; Didelphimorphia; Didelphidae
Description: lncRNA (ENSMODG00000047930.1)
Source: RNAcentral